AUCUAACUGGGUCUAUUUAAAUUAAUCUUGUUGUAAAAUGAUGAUCAAAUAAUUUCCACUAACUGCUGUGUUACAUGGCGAAAAAAUACGCGGACCAGCAAGCAGUCUCUGCGGGAUUUAUUUGCGCGCUUUCGACCGAACAGUAAGUCAUGACAUCUAAUCGCUUAAGUUUAAAACCUGUUCUCCUUACGAGGUACUGACAUGUUUGUCAGUGUCUGGUUAUACUUAGCGGCGAGGUCAACGCUUUUUAAGAAAAAUUGGGAACAUAAGUUCUUUGCUUUGGUCUCCAACUGAGAAGCACAAAGUAACCGUCUCCGAUGCGCCGAAAGCGGCGGACUGCGAGUGCGCCCCAGUCCGCCGCGAUGGCUGCGAGUCCAUUCAAAGAUGACACUUUUCCUACAGAAACUACACAAAAAAGACAGGUAAUCUCACUAAUCCCAAAACGGCUGUAUGGCGAAACCCAGCCUAAUCAAUGGGUGCGUGGGGCAGGUGUUUGAGAGAUCGCCGGCCAAGGAGGGGGAAUAUGGGACAAAGUCCAGAGAAGCUUCAUGAGGAAUCAGCUCCGAGAGGAUCUCUGGACAGGCAGUCGUCCAGAUUCCAGCGAAGGCACAUAAUCAUCCCACGGCGCGUGUAAUUAUGUGCGUGAUGUCAGCGGGCAGGCGGGGGGUGCAGGCGGGGGGUGCAGGCUGGGUGCAGGCCGGGUGGGCAUCAGACGCCUCCUGAGUUGCUUGCUGACUAGUUCAGGUUUGUAAUCAGGCAUCCGUUUGUGUCCGGCCCCUCCCCCACCAAGCGAGCCCCUUGCUCGGUACGGGGGUGUGUGUGUGUGCGUGGAGGGGGGAGUCCGGCCAGGCCCCGCCCACAUGAAGCCACAUGGAAGGCGGGGCCGGUUCAGGGCGGGCUGGGCAGUGCGUGAUGGGUCUGUGAGAUAAUGUGUACGUACUCUGGAGACUCCCAGACGUGGCCCUCUAACUACGGCCCUGCGGUCGCCUCCCGUUUGCUUUGCCCCGGCCCAAAAGAAAUUAAUUGCAGGUCCACUUGGAAAACGAGAUUAUUUCCAGGAGUUCCUGUGUGUAAUUUAAAUUAAUUCGUUGCGCAAAAAACCCUGAGAGUCAAUAGCCUGCCAUCAGGAGAUCCUGGUCACUGGUCUGAAAGCUCGGUGCGUCUGUUUUCUCGUGGGAGCUCCCACUGCACCUUGUGGGGUGACAUCACAACUUUGGCAGAUUCCAUUCGUAAUGAUUUGGUGCGAUUCUAUGAAAAACCUUCUAGUUAUUAUUUUUACAGUAUUAUAUCUGAAUUUUUUUUUGUUGCUUGUUUUAGUAUUGCUUAAUAUGUUAUUACUGUGUUAUUACCUCUUAGUGAUAUGCAGUGAGUUUCAUUGUCUCUAUCAUCUUUGUUGCUAUGUUGAUGUGAUGUACGACCCUUUAAUUCUGACAUAAAUAGUCAACAGCAUUGGAGAUUAGAUUUAUUUAAAAGUGUUGUUCUUUAUUUGCAAUUUAACGUUACUUUCCUGUGCUUCUGAGCCCUGUUCUUGUACGAAUUGUUCCAUUUACUUGGCAGACUCUCUUACCAUGCAGAUUUAUGUUUUGUCCAUUUAUGAAAUCCGUCACACUUCACCCAAGUUGGGGCUUUGUGCACAUUUCCAGCAGUGGGGGCCCCCUCCUGGAAUGUAGUCUGUCAGCCCUCGGGCCACACUUCCUUAACCGCCAUGCCACCUGCUGUACAUAUGGGGAAGUGUGGUGCAUUAAAUAGCCACAGCUCGCCCACACUCCUUCAGAUGCAGAAGGCCACCUCAGCCUUCACUGGGAUUUUCCCGGUGUAAUUUGCACGACUCUCUCAGUCACAGUCUUCUAAGUAUGGCUCAUCUGAUUUAAUAAAAUAUGCAUCCAUCCAGCUGAAGAAAUAUCCUGAUAUUUUCUUUAAAAUUUUCAUCGACCGCUGUGUAGUGUCUCUAACUGGAACAAAAUAUACUUGUGUGGUUCAGUGAAAACAAACUAACCAAAAAAAGCUUUAAUACGAAAAAUCUCUGUUUUCUCAACUUCUCAUAGUUGGUGUGACCCCCAGAGACACCCCCACCCAAGUGACACCACCCAACUUCCAGCCUGACAUGUUGUUCCAAGCCCUCGAAUGCUGCGAUGGAAGCACGAGGCGCCCUGUGAGUGACCAGGCUGAGACCCCCGUCCUGCCCUGGGGUCACAUCUCCGAGGCAGACAUGUUUAGAUUUUUCCUCCUAAAGAAAACAUUGUUCCAUCAUCCAGUCAUUUUCCCCUUUCCCCUGUCUGUCCUCACUCUGUGCCGUCACUUGCUGCCGAUGCCCUUCUCCAAUGCUUCGACUCUCCUGGGGUCUCUCUCUGUUCUCAGUCCGCUCCACCCUUUCUUUUACAGUGAACCUCUCAUUGUAGUCUGACACAAUGGCGGGUGGCAGAUAGCAUAUUACCGACUUACUGAAUUACAGUAGACGUUUUUUUUGGGUCCCUUUGGUGGGGCGAAGAGCAUGAACAGUAUAUGGGGGAGAUGAGACAAGAAUGAGACUUUGAUCUCGUUUUGGGAGAGUUGAGGGAAAGGGAACUAACUCGAGACAGAACAGCGGGAAACUAACUGUAAACUCUUUGGUAUGGGUGAGACAAGGGAACUAACGUUAAACUCUUUGGUAUGGGUUAGACAAGGGAACUAACUUUAAACUCUUUGUUACGGGUUAGACAAGGGAACUAACGUUAAACUCUUUGGUAUGGGUUAGACAAGGGAACUAACUUUAAACUCUUUGGUACGGGUUAGACAAGGGAACUAACGUUAAACUUUUUGGUACGGGUUAGACAAGGGAACUAACGUUAAACUUUUUGGUACGGGUUUGACAAGGGAACUAACGUUAAACUUUUUGGUACGGGUUAGACAAGGGAACUAACGUUAAACU
Paramormyrops kingsleyae is the source of this 2908-nucleotide non-coding RNA. The record is from RefSeq and is a predicted model, not a curated record. NCBI's taxonomy places the organism in Eukaryota, Metazoa, Chordata, Actinopteri, Osteoglossiformes, Mormyridae.